CAGCAGCCGCGGUAACACAGAGGGUGCAAGCGUUAAUCGGAAUUACUGGGCGUAAAGCGCGCGUAGGUGGUUUGUUAAGUUGGAUGUGAAAGCCCCGGGCUCAACCUGGGAACUGCAUCCAAAACUGGCAAGCUAGAGUACGGUAGAGGGUGGUGGAAUUUCCUGUGUAGCGGUGAAAUGCGUAGAUAUAGGAAGGAACACCAGUGGCGAAGGCGACCACCUGGACUGAUACUGACACUGAGGUGCGAAAGCGUGGGGAGCAAACAGGAUUAGAUACCCGCGUAGUCCCUGUCUCUUAUAC
Molecule: ribosomal RNA, 301 nt
Filed under: uncultured bacterium
Lineage: Bacteria
Description: partial 16S ribosomal RNA
Rfam family: Bacterial small subunit ribosomal RNA
Source: RNAcentral